CCUGAUAGCUCAGUUGGUAAAGCAUCCACCUGUAAUGCAGAAGACCCUGGUUCGAUUCCUGGUUGGG
This 67-nucleotide transfer RNA is filed under the name Ovis aries (sheep). It matches the Rfam family "tRNA". From Rfam's summary of the family: Transfer RNA (tRNA) molecules are approximately 80 nucleotides in length. Their secondary structure includes four short double-helical elements and three loops (D, anti-codon, and T loops). Further hydrogen bonds mediate the characteristic L-shaped molecular structure. tRNAs have two regions of fundamental functional importance: the anti-codon, which is responsible for specific mRNA codon recognition, and the 3' end, to which the tRNAs corresponding amino acid is attached (by aminoacyl-tRNA synthetases). tRNAs cope with the degeneracy of the genetic code in two manners: having more than one tRNA (with a specific anti-codon) for a particular amino acid; and 'wobble' base-pairing, i.e. permitting non-standard base-pairing at the 3rd anti-codon position. The record is from Rfam by way of RNAcentral. Lineage: Eukaryota; Metazoa; Chordata; Mammalia; Artiodactyla; Bovidae.